This 665-nucleotide long non-coding RNA is filed under the name Ananas comosus (pineapple). Its description in RNAcentral is "long non-coding RNA (ACOM_LNC013489)". Lineage: Eukaryota; Viridiplantae; Streptophyta; Magnoliopsida; Poales; Bromeliaceae. The record is from RNAcentral.
AUGUUGAAACUUCACAUUGUGACUUAAACUAGAUCUUCGGGAUGCUAGUGACUAUACCAUGUUAGAGACAUGAGGAUUGGAUACUUGAGACUUGGAUUAUGCUUGCUUGCCAUUUGUGCUCAUUCGCACAUGCUUGUGAGGGUCGCUCCCUACAAGCCGGCACUCUGGAGUUAGCCUACGCGACCUAUGUUCGCCGUGCGGUAUCGAGAAGCCUACGGGGUCGGGAGGGAUAGACUCAUUCCUAGAGUGGGAAUGUUGGGGCUACCACCGACACUUAGGCGGCACAAGCUGGAUUACAAUAUAUAGAUCCUAAAACAUGUUUGAUUAAUGACAUUGAACCGGGAAUGGAUAAUCACUACUAGAUAGGUUUAGUAGUUGAAUUACAUUUAUAUGCUUUUAGCAUAGUGUUGAGACAUGUAGUAUACUUGAUAGUCUUUUAUUGCAUUAAAGCAUACUUGGUUGCCAUGACAGAACUUAUGCAUCAUGUAUUGAUAAAGGUUAAUGACAUUUAACUAUUGCCAUUGGACAUACUAUUAUGAUAUCGUAGAUGUACAUCACCAUGACAUCGUGUAUACUUGAGUUUAGUAAUUUAGCAUUUUAAUUAUGCUUUUAUAUCGCAGUCAUUAUUGCUAUUAUUAUUGUACUUACCCUUUUCUUUUGGGGCC